Molecule: ribosomal RNA, 154 nt
Filed under: uncultured bacterium
Lineage: Bacteria
Description: partial 16S ribosomal RNA
Rfam family: Bacterial small subunit ribosomal RNA
Source: RNAcentral
UGGGGAAUAUUGCACAAUGGGGGAAACCCUGAUGCAGCGACGCCGCGUGAGUGAAGAAGUAUUUCGGUACGUAAAGCUCUAUCAGCAGGGAAGAAAGAAAGUCCUUUGGACUUUGGACGGUACCUGACCAAGAAGCCCCGGCUAACUACGUGCC